Molecule: ribosomal RNA, 451 nt
Filed under: uncultured bacterium
Lineage: Bacteria
Description: partial 16S ribosomal RNA
Rfam family: Bacterial small subunit ribosomal RNA
Source: RNAcentral
GAUGAACGCUGGCGGCGUGCCUAACACAUGCAAGUCGAGCGGCAGCGAGGGGUGCUUGCACCCUGUCGGCGAGCGGCGGACGGCUGAGUAACGCGUGGGAACGUGCCCCAAAGUGAGGAAUAACUGCCCGAAAGGGUAGCUAAUACCGCAUAUUAUCUUCGGAUCAAAGGAUUUAUCCGCUUUGGGAGCGGCUCGCGUCGGAUUAGGUAGUUGGUGAGGUAAUGGCUCACCAAGCCGACGAUCCGUAGCUGGUCGGAGAGGAUGACCAGCCAGACUGGAACUGCGACACGGUCCAGACUCCUACGGGAGGCAGCAGUGAGGAAUCUUCCACGAUGGGCGAAAGCCUGAUGGAGCAACGCCGCGUGCAGGACGAAGGCCUUCGGGUUGUAAACUGCUUUUAUAAGUGAGGAAUAUGACGGUAACUUAUGAAUAAGGAUCGGCUAACUACGUG